UCCGUAGGUGGCAAGCGUUGUCCGGAUUCACUGGGUGUAAAGGGUGCGCAGGCGGAUUGGCAAGUCAGAGGUGAAAUCUCACGGCUUAACCGUGAAACUGCCUUUGAUACUGCUAAUCUUGAGUUAGGGAGAGGUUGAUGGAAUUCCAGGUGUAGCGGUGAAAUGCGUAGAUAUCUGGAAGAACACCAGUGGCGAAGGCGGUCAACUGGCCCUUAACUGACGCUCAUGCACGAAAGCGUGGGUAGCGAACAGG
RNAcentral lists this ribosomal RNA (253 nucleotides) under uncultured bacterium. RNAcentral's name for it is "partial 16S ribosomal RNA". It matches the Rfam family "Bacterial small subunit ribosomal RNA", at positions 524 to 776 of the family's 1533-position model. The record is from RNAcentral.